Long non-coding RNA from Equus caballus (horse), 2001 nucleotides. RefSeq lists it as uncharacterized. The record is from RefSeq and is a predicted model, not a curated record. NCBI's taxonomy places the organism in Eukaryota, Metazoa, Chordata, Mammalia, Perissodactyla, Equidae.
GAUUAGCAGCACACAGAAGCGCUGCCCGUGUAAAAGACUGGAGUAAAAGGACCGGCUCUCCACAUGACACAUGCCUGUACUACACCGUGACUGGCAGGAGAAAAAUUGCACCUGAAAAAAAGAUCAGAAUUAUGCAGAGGAGGAAACUGGAUUUCUACUCUCUAAAGAGUUGAACAAUUCAACACAUCAGCUGAUAUUUGUGGCACCCCUACUACGAUCCUGGCUAAAAAGGCAAGACACUAAAGACGUGCUUACCAAGUGUUGCAGUUGCUGAGGCCAGCACCAUCUCAGACCCUAGAAGACGGCUGGUGAUGUUAACAGAAAAACAACGAUCUGGGGAGAAGGUGAAGUGAGCUGAUUUGCCCAGAGCCGUAUGUUUUACCAGCACAAUUUUGAAUACAGCAGGUCAAUCCACUAGUCCUUUCUUCUCUCUCUGCUUCUCUACCUGUGCAAUGGAAAUGAUCACAGCAGCCUCAUAAUGGGAUUGUGAGGAUUUGGGAGUUAAAUAGGAACUCUUGCUAGCUCAAAGAUCGUCCUCUAUGUUCCAUAAAACAGCCUUGAUUCUAGGGCACAGGGAUAAUGACAGAGAGUACAUUUUCUAUGAGCCUUGCAUAGGUGUUAUAGUCGCGUCUGGUUUUCAAUUAGCACUCAAUCAGGAGUGCCCUUGGAACUCCCCUGGCUGGUUCUGUAGUUCAUGUGAGCUCUGUUAGGGGACAGGAAGGUACAGUUAAAACUCAAAGGUGAGGACAAGUAAACAGGGCCGAGAGUUCUGCAAACUAUUGCUGUAUGGAGGGCCAGCCACUUUAUUAAUGUGUAUAUGGAAGAAACCAGAUCAGAUGGUCCUCUGACACAUGAGCCUUUUGUUUAUUAGCAUCCUGUCUCUUGGCGUGUUUGUAAAAAUAUAUGUGAGAGCCACGGGUGCUCAGAAUUUAUGACUCUGCAGGGUUAGAUCUAUGUCCACUCCCAGCCCUGGUUCACUGGGAAUCAGGCUCAUCCCUACGAUAGCAAAGUUGGGGGAUGAAAAAUGAGAGCUAUCUUUAUAAAAUCUUGACUGUGGCAUCUUUCUGAAAAGAUUGCAUCCGGGAGAGCACAACCAACACUGCUUUUGCAAUUUCACGCCCGUAAUGGGUGUGUUGUAUGGGGAAGGGUGGCAGGGGCAGUGUUUGCUUCCAAGUGGUAGUGAUAGUGAAACAAACUCAUGGUCUCUCCCUGGUUUCAAUCAACCCUCCCACCAUUGCCAUUUGUCUUCCUAAAACAAAAAUCUCAUGUGUCAUUGCCUUGCGUAUGAACCUUUGAUGGCUCCUGUUUGCUUUUGGAGUUAGAAUUUCUUCAUAUGGCUCAGCACAGCCUGCCCUUCUGAUGUCAUCUCCUGGCAUACCCCCUUACACACUCCAUAAUCUAACUAGCUAGGAUGAUUCGGGAUUAAAUGAGGCAGUCCCCAUGGUGGCUCAGAUUGUAGGCUUUAGAUCCAGAUUCUGGCUUUGAAUCCAGGAUCUCACUAGUUGUGUAGUCUCAGAUAAGUUACUUACCCUUCUGUGCUUCAGUUUGCCCAUCUAUAAAAUAGGGGACAUAAUAUCAUAAGGCGUCUGUGGACAGUAAAUGAAUUGAUACAGAGUAUGUAAAGCAGUGCCUGACACAUAGCAAAUAUCAUGGAAGAUUGGGUAGCAUUAUUAUUAUUUAUGUUGAUCUGAAUGUGGCAUUCUCUUUGACACCUCUGUGCCUUUGUACGUGCAGUUUCCGUAGCCUGUAAUGCCCUCUCCCUCUUCUAUGCCUAAGGCUAACACCUUCAACACCUCUCUCAAGUGUCAUAACUUCUUUGCCUCUCUCUUUGCAUCUCCCACUGUCUGACACAGCACAGCAGAUUAUUGCAGCUUUUUAGAAACAAGUCUUUCUCCCCCUAUAAGAUUGUGACUUUCCUGAGGGCAAUGGUUAUCUUCAUUUUUAUUUAUUUACUUAUUUAUUAUUUUUUGCUGAAGAAGAUUAGCCCUGAGAUAACAUCCA